UCCUAGAAAAACUGUAGUCUAACGUUUAAUCGUCUGUCUUAUUUAAAAAAAUUAUGAUUAGUAUUUUUAUUGUUAUUAGAUGAUAAAACAUAAAUAGUCUAAAUUUUUAUUUUUUAUAAAUUUUUCAAGUAAGAUAGGCGAUCAAAUAUUGAACACGGAAAUCCACAAUUGCACUUAAA
This 179-nucleotide microRNA precursor is filed under the name Oryza punctata. RNAcentral describes it as "MIR812 microRNA precursor family". It matches the Rfam family "MIR812 microRNA precursor family", at positions 26 to 205 of the family's 205-position model. Lineage: Eukaryota; Viridiplantae; Streptophyta; Magnoliopsida; Poales; Poaceae. The record is from Rfam by way of RNAcentral.